RNAcentral lists this transfer RNA (72 nucleotides) under Piridium sociabile. RNAcentral describes it as "tRNA-Arg". It matches the Rfam family "tRNA". Rfam says of the family: Transfer RNA (tRNA) molecules are approximately 80 nucleotides in length. Their secondary structure includes four short double-helical elements and three loops (D, anti-codon, and T loops). Further hydrogen bonds mediate the characteristic L-shaped molecular structure. tRNAs have two regions of fundamental functional importance: the anti-codon, which is responsible for specific mRNA codon recognition, and the 3' end, to which the tRNAs corresponding amino acid is attached (by aminoacyl-tRNA synthetases). tRNAs cope with the degeneracy of the genetic code in two manners: having more than one tRNA (with a specific anti-codon) for a particular amino acid; and 'wobble' base-pairing, i.e. permitting non-standard base-pairing at the 3rd anti-codon position. The record is from RNAcentral. Lineage: Eukaryota; Vitrellaceae.
AAAUCUAUCGUCCAAAGGAUAAGACAAUAGCCUUCUAAGCUAUUAAUAUAGGUUCAAUUCCUAUUAGAUUUA